GUCUACGGCCAUGCCACCCUGAACGUGCCUGAUCCCAUUUGAUCUUGGAAGCUAAGCAGGGUGGAGCUUGGUUAGUACUUGGAUGGGAGACCACCUAGGAAGACCAGGUGCUAUAGGCA
RNAcentral lists this ribosomal RNA (119 nucleotides) under Pteropus alecto (black flying fox). Lineage: Eukaryota; Metazoa; Chordata; Mammalia; Chiroptera; Pteropodidae. RNAcentral also lists the same sequence under 1 other name. The record is from RNAcentral.